Molecule: ribosomal RNA, 1672 nt
Filed under: Campylobacter coli
Lineage: Bacteria; Pseudomonadati; Campylobacterota; Epsilonproteobacteria; Campylobacterales; Campylobacteraceae
Description: partial 23S ribosomal RNA
Rfam family: Bacterial large subunit ribosomal RNA
Source: RNAcentral
UGCUGGAGCGAAUAGAAGUGAGCAUGCAGGCAUGAGUAGCGAUAAUUAAUGUGAGAAUCAUUAACGCCGUAAACCCAAGGUUUCCUACGCGAUGCUCGUCAUCGUAGGGUUAGUCGGGUCCUAAGUCGAGUCCGAAAGGGGUAGACGAUGGCAAAUUGGUUAAUAUUCCAAUACCAACAUUAGUGUGCGAUGGAAGGACGCUUAGGGCUAAGGGGGCUAGCGGAUGGAAGUGCUAGUCUAAGGUCGUAGGAGGUUAUACAGGCAAAUCCGUAUAACAAUACUCCGAGAACUGAAAGGCUUUUUGAAGUCUUCGGAUGGAUAGAAGAACCCCUGAUGCCAUCGAGCCAAGAAAAGUUUCUAAGUUUAGCUAAUGUUGCCCGUACCGUAAACCGACACAGGUGGGUGGGAUGAGUAUUCUAAGGCGCGUGGAAGAACUCUCUUUAAGGAACUCUGCAAAAUAGCACCGUAUCUUCGGUAUAAGGUGUGGUUCGCUUCGUAUUAGGAUUUACUCCGAAAGCGAAGAAACUUACAACAAAGAGUCCCUCCCGACUGUUUACCAAAAACACAGCACUCUGCUAACUCGUAAGAGGAUGUAUAGGGUGUGACGCCUGCCCGGUGCUCGAAGGUUAAUUGAUGGGGUUAGCAUUAGCGAAGCUCUUGAUCGAAGCCCGAGUAAACGGCGGCCGUAACUAUAACGGUCCUAAGGUAGCGAAAUUCCUUGUCGGUUAAAUACCGACCUGCAUGAAUGGCGUAACGAGAUGGGAGCUGUCUCAAAGAGGGAUCCAGUGAAAUUGUAGUGGAGGUGAAAAUUCCUCCUACCCGCGGCAAGACGGAAAGACCCCGUGGACCUUUACUACAGCUUGACACUGCUAUUUGGAUAAGAAUGUGCAGGAUAGGUGGGAGGCUUUGAGUAUAUGACGCCAGUUGUAUAUGAGCCAUUGUUGAGAUACCACUCUUUCUUAUUUGGGUAGCUAACCAGCUUGAGUUAUCCUCAAGUGGGACAAUGUCUGGUGGGUAGUUUGACUGGGGCGGUCGCCUCCCAAAUAAUAACGGAGGCUUACAAAGGUUGGCUCAGAACGGUUGGAAAUCGUUCGUAGAGUAUAAAGGUAUAAGCCAGCUUAACUGCAAGACAUACAAGUCAAGCAGAGACGAAAGUCGGUCUUAGUGAUCCGGUGGUUCUGUGUGGAAGGGCCAUCGCUCAAAGGAUAAAAGGUACCCCGGGGAUAACAGGCUGAUCUCCCCCAAGAGCUCACAUCGACGGGGAGGUUUGGCACCUCGAUGUCGGCUCAUCGCAUCCUGGGGCUGGAGCAGGUCCCAAGGGUAUGGCUGUUCGCCAUUUAAAGCGGUACGCGAGCUGGGUUCAGAACGUCGUGAGACAGUUCGGUCCCUAUCUGCCGUGGGCGUAAGAAGAUUGAAGAGAUUUGACCCUAGUACGAGAGGACCGGGUUGAACAAACCACUGGUGUAGCUGUUGUUCUGCCAAGAGCAUCGCAGCGUAGCUAAGUUUGGAAAGGAUAAACGCUGAAAGCAUCUAAGCGUGAAGCCAACUCUAAGAUGAAUCUUCUCUAAGCUCUCUAGAAGACUACUAGUUUGAUAGGCUGGGUGUGUAAUGGAUGAAAGUCCUUUAGCUGACCAGUACUAAUAGAGCGUUUGGCUUAUCUUUAAUAAAGCAU